This is an RNA transcript of Nymphaea colorata (pocket water lily), 1489 nucleotides long. It is a transcript of the gene named vesicle-associated protein 4-1-like, with no coding region annotated. Lineage: Eukaryota; Viridiplantae; Streptophyta; Magnoliopsida; Nymphaeales; Nymphaeaceae. The record is from RefSeq and is a predicted model, not a curated record. The transcript has 9 exons.
UACGCCUCUCUCUCUCUCUCUCUGUUCUCUCUCUGUCUCAGAGUGAAGCGGCUGAGGAAGGAAGGGGUUUUGGAACUUUGGAGCGAGGAGGGAAGUUGAUUGCAGGAAGAACUGUGUUGGUUGCCGGAUUGCGGCUGCCGAUGGCCUGAAUCCAGCUGGAAAGUCGCGUUCUUCUCUUAUGGCUCUACCCGACGCGAAGUCUCCGACGGAAGGUAAGGUCUGGAACCUCUGCCGGAUGCCGUUCUGGCAAUCCGGAGCGACAUCGUCUUCCCCUUCAUCUUCCUCCCAGAACGCUCAGCUUCAGCAGAGCGGAAGCCAGGGCCAGGCCGAAGGCUCGAACCCAAAGCCGAACACUGUUUCGUCCGUCGCUCGCGCUCUCCUCCCGACUCGCCGUCGUCUUCGGCUUGAUCCGACGAACAAGCUCUACUUUCCAUAUGAGCCAGGGAAGCAAGUAAAGAGUGCAGUGAGGAUUGUAAACACAAGUAAAUCUCACGUAGCGUUUAAGUUCCAAACGACUGCGCCAAAGAGUUGCUUUAUGCGUCCCCCCGGAGGGAUACUUUCACCCGGAGAGAGCAUUAUAGCCACUGUCUUCAAAUUCGUUGAGCACCCCGAAAAUAAUGAGAAAGUGUCGGACCAGAAGACCAAAGUCAAGUUCAAAAUCGUCAGUUUGAAGGUGAAAGGGGGAAUGGAGUAUGUGCCCGAGCUGUUCGAUGAGCAAAAGGAUCAGGUCUCUGUGGAGCAGAUUCUACGAGUAAUUUUCUUGGAUCCUGAACGACGUUCUCCGCACUUGGAAAAACUUAAACGUCAACUUGAUGAGGCAGAGGCAGCCCUUGAGGCACGGAAAAAACCCCCGGAGGAUGCUGGACCGAAGAUUGUCGGUGAAGGCCUCGUCAUUGAUGAAUGGAAGGAGAGAAGAGAAAAGUAUCUAGCACGGCAACAAGUGGAAGGCGCUGAUUCAGUAUAAUGUGGCAUUGUCUCUAUGAUAAUUCAAGUUUGCAAUCGAGAAAAUGAAAAUAAGAACUUGAGACAGGAAAGCAGACGCUAACAUAUGGGCUUCUGGAAUUCUUGUUGCUGCUGACCUGACUCCAUUUUUUCUCUUGUUCUGCACCUUGCAAUAACUUUGUUGCUGGUUCAGACGUGUCCUUGUAAGCUCAACAACGUGGGCACCAGAUUGGACUUAAAUCUUCAAAUCGAAAGUGUUCAAUGCCUUAGGUAUGUGGCCAGUUUGCCCAAAAUCAAUUCAUCAAUAAGAUUGAAUAAAAAACUUUGUUUUCUUUGCAGGCGUUUCGCAGAUGAACAUUAUGUUUCUGAAACAUGUAGUUCUCUCCAAAAAAAUAUGAUAUGAAUGGAUCCCAGACCACUAGGUCUGGGACAAGAACGAGAUCACUCAAACUUUAUUAUUGAAGUGCUUUUUGCAUAAUCCAACUGUAUAGAUAUGUUCUUAGGCUUGUUUUAAUGAUGGUACUCAAGUCAUUUUUUGAAUUUAGUA